UCUUAUCGCUGAGGGAGAAAAAAAGGCAGCAGCAGCAAAAACAGGAAAUGCUGUUAAACAGAAAGUUCAUACCAAAUACGUCAGAAAGCCCCAGAACCUCAUACACAUUAUUUCAAGAACUGCCAUCUCUAAGUUUAGCCUGAGCAACAAUUGAUUUACUGUCUACAGGCUUAGCUCUCACAAGUUGUGCGAUGAUUAUCCUACUAAUUAUUCUUGUUGUAAUUACUGCGACUGAGGAGCAUUCCACAGUUACAGCUAGAGAUCCGGUAUAUCCUGCACGCGUUUUUGGACAUUCUCAUGUUAAAGUGGGGGAAUGUUUUGAGCUGAAGUGCAGCACAUUUGGAACGAAGAAUGAAGGGGAAAAACGCUUUGUUUACCUCUGCAAGAAUGGAGUCGCCAUAGAGAUGUCCCAGACCAAAAGUCAAGACUCCUCUUUCCUAAUGAAAAGUGCCACUAAGGAACAUACAGGAAACUACAGUUGUCUGUCCUCCAGAACAGAACAGAAUGUCAGUGAGGUGAAAGGAGAUGGAGAGAAUUCCAUCUUCAUCCAAGUGAUUGAUAGAGUAUACCCAGCAGUGAUAGCUGGUGAAACAUCUGUGAGAUCAGGGACAGAUGUGGAUUUCAACUGCACCUCAGAAGAUGCCCCAGACACAGGCCUCCUUUUGGCAUUCCUCUGGAGGAAUCAAACCAUCGUUGACAUUGAAAUGUGGAAUUCUCAGCAGAAACAGGCUAGUUUCCAUCUAAUAGGAGUCCAGGAGAGAGACUCGGGCAACUAUAGCUGUGUGGUAUCAGAGCGACCGCUUGCUGCAACAGAGUUGGACAUGUGUGGAGGGAAUUCAGUCUUCCUGCAGGUUUACGGUAAGAAUUGCAAAAAUAUUAACACCAUGCCUCAAACUAAAGUUAGACAGUAGGCUGUGUGGGACAUGUGUUGUAGUGUUUAUUAUGAGAAGGCUAAUAUGUGAGUACAUGCAGAGUAUACAAUUCUUAC
Molecule: long non-coding RNA, 988 nt
Organism: Clupea harengus (Atlantic herring)
Lineage: Eukaryota; Metazoa; Chordata; Actinopteri; Clupeiformes; Clupeidae
Source: Ensembl